This 96-nucleotide Y RNA is filed under the name Microcebus murinus (gray mouse lemur). Its description in RNAcentral is "Y RNA (ENSMICG00000042634.1)". It matches the Rfam family "Y RNA". From Rfam's summary of the family: Y RNAs are components of the Ro ribonucleoprotein particle (Ro RNP), in association with Ro60 and La proteins. The Y RNAs and Ro60 and La proteins are well conserved, but the function of the Ro RNP is not known. Lineage: Eukaryota; Metazoa; Chordata; Mammalia; Primates; Cheirogaleidae. The record is from Rfam by way of RNAcentral.
GGCUGGUCCCAUGGUAGUGUGUUAUCAGAAUUUAUUAACAUUGGUGUCACUAAAGUUGGUGUACAACCCCUCACUGCUAAAUUUGACUGGCUUUAA